Molecule: non-coding RNA, 149 nt
Organism: Caenorhabditis elegans
Lineage: Eukaryota; Metazoa; Nematoda; Chromadorea; Rhabditida; Rhabditidae
Source: Ensembl
AAUUUGUAAUUUGUAAAUUAGAAGCAAUUGCUUGCCUAUACUAUUUUAAUUCUAUAAUAGCUAGUGAAAGGCUCAUCAAUCAAAUAAAGUGAGAUAGGUUUUGAAAUGGAACCUUUGAAGAAUCUGACAGGCAUACAAAUAUUGAGUUU